Molecule: non-coding RNA, 271 nt
Filed under: Tupaia belangeri chinensis (Chinese tree shrew)
Lineage: Eukaryota; Metazoa; Chordata; Mammalia; Scandentia; Tupaiidae
Description: Tupaia chinensis (Chinese tree shrew) Bag-1 internal ribosome entry site (IRES)
Rfam family: Bag-1 internal ribosome entry site (IRES)
About the family: This family represents the bag-1 internal ribosome entry site (IRES). When expressed the BAG-1 protein is known to enhance the anti-apoptotic properties of Bcl-2. Although bag-1 translation usually occurs via a cap-dependent mechanism it has been found to contain a IRES in its 5' UTR.
Source: Rfam by way of RNAcentral
AUAGAAAUAUAAUUGUAGGGGCCGGGGCACCCCUCUGCCUGACUGGGAGCCAUGCUGGUCAGAAGCCGAGCUUGGCCCACCUCCCUCUCAGCAUCCAUCUGUCCAGAAUCCAGCCAGUGGUCAUGACCAACCCACCAGGGGUGCAGCCACUGGUGGUUCCAGGCUGCAGGUAAAGAAAAUCUGCACAGGCUCAGCCUAGAGCAAGGAGGUGGCUUGGAGUUGGAGCAAUGAGGUGGCUCAGAGCAAGGAGUUUCCUUGGGGUGAAAAAAUG